Molecule: unclassified non-coding RNA, 329 nt
Filed under: soil metagenome
Description: partial contains 5.8S ribosomal RNA, internal transcribed spacer 2, and large subunit ribosomal RNA
Rfam family: 5.8S ribosomal RNA (bases 1-120)
Source: RNAcentral
GAUGAAGAACGCAGCGAAAUGCGAUAAGUAGUGUGAAUUGCAGAAUUCAGUGAAUCAUCGAAUCUUUGAACGCACAUUGCGCUCCUUGGUAUCCCGAGGGGCAUGCCUGUUCGAGCGUCAUUUCACCACUCAAGCCUGGCUUGGUGUUGGGCGACGUCCUCUUUGGGGACGCGCCUCGAAACGCUCGGCGGCGUGGCACCGGCUUUAAGCGUAGCAGAAUCUUUCGCUUUGGAAGUCGGGGCCCCGUCUGCCGGAAGACCUGCUCGCAAGGUUGACCUCGGAUCAGGCAGGGAUACCCGCUGAACUUAAGCAUAUCAAUAAGCGGAGGA